Molecule: ribosomal RNA, 254 nt
Filed under: uncultured bacterium
Lineage: Bacteria
Description: partial 16S ribosomal RNA
Rfam family: Bacterial small subunit ribosomal RNA
Source: RNAcentral
UACGUAGGCAGCAAGCGUUGUUCGGAAUUACUGGGCGUAAAGAGUGUGUAGGCGGUGCUCUAAGUCUGUUGUGAAAUCUCCCGGCUCAACUGGGAGGGUGCGCCGAAUACUGAAUGACUAGAGUGCGGGAGAGGAGAGUGGAAUUCCUGGUGUGAGCGGUGAAAUGCGUAGAUAUCAGGAGGAACACCGGUGGUGUAGACGGCUCUCUGGACCGUAACUGACGCUGAGGCACGAAAGCGUGGGUAGCAAACAGG